CAAGCACAAACAAACUCCCGUUCUCUCAAGGUCAGUUUUCUCUCACUCUCUCUCUCUCGCUCUCAUUUCAGAAAAUCAUGUACUUUAAUGCUUAAUUUCAUCUGGUUCGAUGCAUUUAUACUUGUGUAACUGAAAUCAAUGGUGGGGCGGCUUGCAGGGAUUAUGGUAGGAGGGAUGAUCAAGGGCCUGAGUGAUUAUUAGAGAAAUUGCAGGUGGGCAGCUCGUGGCGGAGGAGAUUUUUCCCUUUAAAUUGGUGUCGUCAAGAUUACUGGCUGGACUAUUGACUAUAUUUGUUGUUUCGGUUUCUAUAUUGUUUCGUGUAAUUGAACACGGAGCAAUUGUUGAGGCCCCUGUCCAGGAAAGGGCGG
RNAcentral lists this long non-coding RNA (368 nucleotides) under Coffea arabica (coffee). Its description in RNAcentral is "long non-coding RNA (CARA_LNC007474)". The record is from RNAcentral. Lineage: Eukaryota; Viridiplantae; Streptophyta; Magnoliopsida; Gentianales; Rubiaceae.